UACGUAGGGCGCAAGCGUUAUCCGGAAUUAUUGGGCGUAAAGAGCUCGUAGGCGGUUUGUCGCGUCUGCCGUGAAAGUCCGGGGCUCAACUCCGGAUCUGCGGUGGGUACGGGCAGACUAGAGUGAUGUAGGGGAGACUGGAAUUCCUGGUGUAGCGGUGAAAUGCGCAGAUAUCAGGAGGGACACCGGUGGCGAAGGCGGGUCUCUGGGCCGAUACUGACGCUGAGGAGCGAAAGCGUGGGGAGCGAACAGG
Molecule: ribosomal RNA, 253 nt
Filed under: uncultured bacterium
Lineage: Bacteria
Description: partial 16S ribosomal RNA
Rfam family: Bacterial small subunit ribosomal RNA
Source: RNAcentral